This 1371-nucleotide ribosomal RNA is filed under the name Microhyla berdmorei (Pegu rice frog). RNAcentral's name for it is "partial 16S rRNA". It matches the Rfam family "Bacterial large subunit ribosomal RNA", at positions 23 to 2557 of the family's 2925-position model. Lineage: Eukaryota; Metazoa; Chordata; Amphibia; Anura; Microhylidae. The record is from RNAcentral.
GCUAAAAAUCUAGCUCUUCUCAUUCCUAUGAAUACCCCACCUCCUAACCAAUUAAUAAAUCAUUUUUUACAUAAAGUAAAGGCGAUAGAAAAAUGCCUAGAAGCUAUAGAAAGUAGUACCGCAAGGGAAAGAUGAAAUAAUAAUGAAAAAUUUACAAGCACCAAAAAGCAGAGCUGUAACCUCGUACCUUUUGCAUCAUGGUCUAACUAGUCUAAUCAAGCAAAAUGCAUUUUUAGUUUGACCCCCCGAAACUAGGUGAGCUACUUAAAAACAGCCGUUAGGGCCAACCCGUCUCUGUUGCAAAAGAGUGGGAAGAUUUUUAAGUAGGGGUGACAGACCUAUCGAACCUAGAGAUAGCUGGUUAUUCAGGAAAAGGAUUUAAGUCCUACCUUAAAAUUUUUAUACACCCCCCCCAGUAUUCUCAAAAUUUUAAGAGCUAUUCAAAUAAGGUACAGCCUAUUUGAAACAGGAUACAACCUCCAUCAAUGGGUAACAAAGUAUUUCCUCAACUAAGUGGGCCUAAGAGCAGCCACCUUUAAAAAAGCGUUAAAGCUUUAUUGUUAAAUUAAAAAAUUCCAUUAACUAUAUAAAACCCUUAAUUCUGUACUGAAUAAUUUUAUAACUAUAUAAAAACGCAUAUGUUAGAACUAGUAACAAGAAGAAGUACUUCUCCAAAAUGUAAGCAUAAGCCAGAAUGAACCCUUCACUGGCAAUUAAAGUCAAUAAACCCCUAGUAGUAACCAAUCAAGAAAACCCUACUACUACAAACGUUAACCUUACACCAGCACAUUUCCGGAAAGAAAUAAAGAGGAGGAAGGAACUCGGCAAAUAACCUAACCCCGCCUGUUUACCAAAAACAUCGCCUCUUGCCAUCUAUAAGAGGUCCAGCCUGCCCAGUGACAAAGUUAAACGGCCGCGGUACCCUAACCGUGCAAAGGUAGCGCAAUCACUUGUUCUUUAAAUGAGGACUAGUAUGAACGGCAUCACGAGGGUUAUACUGUCUCCCCCCUUUUUUCAGUGAAACUGAUCUUCCCGUGAAGAAGCGGGAAUAUUAAUAUAAGACGAGAAGACCCCAUGGAGCUUUAAACUCAGAAUCAACUGCCACAAAAUUAACCUAAUAAUCACGCAGAAGUGACUUCUAGUUUUCGGUUGGGGUGACCGCGGAGUAAAAUAAAACCUCCACGACGAAAGGAACUAACCUCCUAACCUAAGAGCCACAGCUCUAAGUAUUAAAACAUUAACCUAAUUGAUCCAAUUACUUGAUCAACGAACCAAGUUACCCUGGGGAUAACAGCGCAAUCCAUUUCAAGAGCUCAUAUCGACAAAUGGGUUUACGACCUCGAUGUUGGAUCAGGAUAUCCAAGUGGCGCA